Molecule: ribosomal RNA, 284 nt
Filed under: Eubacterium coprostanoligenes
Lineage: Bacteria; Bacillati; Bacillota; Clostridia; Eubacteriales; Eubacteriaceae
Description: partial 16S ribosomal RNA
Rfam family: Bacterial small subunit ribosomal RNA
Source: RNAcentral
UACGUAGGUGGCAAGCGUUGUCCGGAAUUACUGGGUGUAAAGGGAGCGCAGGCGGGUGAUCAAGUCAGCUGUGAAAACUACGGGCUUAACCCGUAGACUGCAGUUGAAACUGUUCAUCUUGAGUGAAGUAGAGGUUGGCGGAAUUCCGAGUGUAGCGGUGAAAUGCGUAGAUAUUCGGAGGAACACCGGUGGCGAAGGCGGCCAACUGGGCUUUAACUGACGCUGAGGCUCGAAAGUGUGGGGAGCAAACAGGAUUAGAGACCCCGGGAGGCGGCUGACUGACU